GACAGAGGUCCCAAGCGUUUAGGCGGAAUCACUGGGCUUAAAGCGUGUGUGAGGCGGACUUCUAAGUACCUUGUGAAAUCCCACGGCUCAACCGUGGAACUGCUUGGUAUACUGGUUGUCUUGGGCCAUCUAGGGGCUAGCGGAACAAACGGUGGAGCGGUGAAAUGCGUAGAUAUCGUUUGGAACGCCAAUGGUGAAAACAGCUAGCUGGGGAUGUGCCGACGCUGAGACACGAAAGCCAGGGGAGCGAACGGG
This 255-nucleotide ribosomal RNA is filed under the name uncultured bacterium. Its description in RNAcentral is "partial 16S ribosomal RNA". It matches the Rfam family "Bacterial small subunit ribosomal RNA", at positions 524 to 776 of the family's 1533-position model. The record is from RNAcentral.